RNAcentral lists this ribosomal RNA (494 nucleotides) under uncultured bacterium. RNAcentral's name for it is "partial 16S ribosomal RNA". It matches the Rfam family "Bacterial small subunit ribosomal RNA", at positions 28 to 507 of the family's 1533-position model. The record is from RNAcentral.
GACGAACGCUGGCGGCGUGCUUAACACAUGCAAGUCGAACGGAAAGGCCUGCUUUCCCUUGUGGAUUGCGGGUACUCGAGUGGCGAACGGGUGAGUAACACGUGAGUGAUCUGCCCCCAACUUGGGUAUAAGCCUGGGAAACUGGGUCUAAUUCCCGAUAGGACUGCAGGGUGGUGCCUGUGGUGGAAAACGAUUUUCUAGUGGUUGGGGGUGAGCUCGCGGCCUAUCAGCUUGUUGGUGGGGUAAUGGCCUACCAAGGCGGCGACGGGUAGCCGGCCUGAGAGGGUGGACGGCCACAGUGGGACUGAGAUACGGCCCAGACUCCUACGGGAGGCAGCAGUGGGGAAUAUUGCACAAUGGGCGGAAGCCUGAUGCAGCGACGCCGCGUGGGGGAUGACGGCCUUCGGGUGGUAAACUCCUUUCGACCGCGAGGAAGCCACCUGGUUGGAAGGGUGGUGACGGUAGUGGUAGAAGAAGCACCGGCUAACUACGUG